UACAGAGGUCUCGAGCGUUAGGCGGAAUCACUGGGCGUAAAGGGUGCGUAGGCGGGUCUUUAAGUCAGGGGUGAAAUGCCAAGGCUCAACCUUGGAACUGCCUUUGAUACUGGAGACCUUGAGUCCGGGAGAGGUGAGUGGAAUUGCGAGUGUAGAGGUGAAAUUCGUAGAUAUUCGCAAGAACACCAGUGGCGAAGGCGGCUUACUGGCCCGGAACUGACGCUGAGACGCGAAAGCGUGGGGAGCAAACAGG
Molecule: ribosomal RNA, 253 nt
Filed under: uncultured bacterium
Lineage: Bacteria
Description: partial 16S ribosomal RNA
Rfam family: Bacterial small subunit ribosomal RNA
Source: RNAcentral